Molecule: ribosomal RNA, 851 nt
Filed under: uncultured archaeon
Lineage: Archaea
Description: bacterial SSU rRNA
Rfam family: Archaeal small subunit ribosomal RNA
Source: RNAcentral
CGGAGGCGACCGCUAUUGGAGUUCGAUUAAGCCAUGCGAGUAGAAAGAAAUUAGAUUCUUUGCAUACUGCUCAGCAACACGUGGAUAACCUGCCCUACACUGGGGGAUAAUCUUGGGAAACUGAGGAUAAUACCCCAUAGACCACUACGCCUGGAACGGUGAGUGGUUGAAAGCUCCGGCGGUGUAGGAUGGGUCCGCGGCGUAUCAGGUCGUAGGGGGUGUAACGGACCUCCUAGCCAUCGACGCGUACGGGUUGUGGGAGCAAUAGCCCGGAGACGGAUUCUGAGACACGAAUCCGGACCCUACGGGGUGCAGCAGGCGCGAAAAACUUCACACUGCAGGAAACUGUGAUGAGGGAACUCCAAGUGCAUGCACAAUGUGUAUGCUUUUCUUGAAUCUUAAUAGUUCUUGGAAUAAGGGCUGGGAAAGACCGGUGCCAGCCGCCGCGGUAAUACCGGCAGCUCAAGUGGUCGUCGUUCUUAUUGGGCCUAAAACGUCCGUAGCCUGUUUGGUAAAUCUGUGGGUAAAUCAACGAGCUCAACUCGUUGAAUUCUGCAGAGACUGCCAGACUAGGGACCGGGAGAGGUAUGAGGUACUCUGGGGGUAGGGGUAAAAUCCUGUCAUCCUCAGAGGACCACCUGUUGCGAAGGCGUCAUACUGGAACGGAUCCGACGGUCAGGGACGAAGCCUAGGGGCACGAACCGGAUUAGAUACCCGGGUAGUCCUAGGUGUAAACGCUGUGGAUUUGGUGUGUGGGGUCCAUCAAGGGCCCCAUGUGCCGGAGUGAAGAUGUUAAAUCCACUGCCUGGGGAGUACGGUCGCAAGGCUGAAACUUAAAGGAAUUGGCGGGG